This 469-nucleotide ribosomal RNA is filed under the name uncultured bacterium. Its description in RNAcentral is "bacterial SSU rRNA". It matches the Rfam family "Bacterial small subunit ribosomal RNA", at positions 28 to 507 of the family's 1533-position model. The record is from RNAcentral.
GACGAACGCUGGCGGCGUGCCUAACACAUGCAAGUCGAACGGACAUUGAAUGAAACCUAGUGAUUUUAAUGUUAGCGGCGGACGGGUGAGUAACGCGUGGGAAACCUGCCCUGUACCGGGGGAUAACACUUAGAAAGGAAGAUUAAUACCGCAUAAGAAGUAGAAGUCGCAUGGCUUUAGCUUUAAAGGAGCAAUCCGCUAUAAGAUGGACCCGCGGCGCAUUAGCUAGUUGGUGAGGUAACGGCUCACCAAGGCGACGAUGCGUAGCCGACCUGAGAGGGUGAUCGGCCACAUUGGAACUGAGACACGGUCCAGACUCCUACGGAGGCAGCAGUGGGGAAUAUUGCACAAUGGGCGAAAGCCUGAUGCAGCAACGCCGCGUGGGUGAUGAAGGUUUUCGGAUCGUAAAGCCCUGUCUUUUGGGACGAUAAUGACGGUACCAAAGGAGGAAGCCACGGCUAACUACGUG